This 408-nucleotide ribosomal RNA is filed under the name uncultured bacterium. RNAcentral describes it as "partial 16S ribosomal RNA". It matches the Rfam family "Bacterial small subunit ribosomal RNA", at positions 28 to 526 of the family's 1533-position model. The record is from RNAcentral.
GACGAACGCUGGCGGCGUGCCUAAUACAUGCAAGUCGAACGCAGUGGCGGACGGGUGAGUAACACGUGGGUGACCUGCCCUGCACUUCGGGAUAAGCCUGGGAAACUGGGUCUAAUACCGGAUAGUGUGGGAUGGGCCCGCGGCCUAUCAGCUUGUUGGUGGGGUAAUGGCCUACCAAGGCGGCGACGGGUAGCCGACCUGAGAGGGGGGACGGCGACAUGGGGACUGAGAUAAGGCACAGACGCCUACGGGAGGCAGCAGUGGGGAAUAUUGCACAAUGGGCGGAAGCCUGAGGAAGCGACGCCGAGUGGGGGAUGACGGCCUUCGGGUUGGAAACUCCUGUCACCAUCGACGCGGUAGAUGGAGAAGAAGCACCGGCUAACUACGUGCCAGCAGCCGCGGUAAUUC